GGCAGGAAUGAUGAGUCUCUUCUUGCUGAGGUCUGGGGCCUCAGCUGGGAAUACUCAAGGGUUGAUGAGUUGCGGGCUGGAGUCACCUGGAGGAGUCUUCACUUACUUCUGGUAGUUGGUUUUGUCUGUUAUCUGGCAUCUCAGCAGGGACUGCCCAUUGGCCUCCCCAUGUGGCCUAAGUGUCCCCACAGCAUGAUGGCUAGCAGGUAGCUGGGCUUUGAUGAAGGCUCAGGGUCCAAGGGCUGAAAGGCUCUGCUGUCUCAGUCUGGCUGGACACCAGGGGCACUGCAGGUGGACAGGCUGGACUUCUCACCCCAUGUUGCCGUUUUCUGCAUGACCGUGGCCGGUGAGACACCCUCUGUGUCUGGAGCGAGUGACAGCCACCCAGCUGCUCUUUUGCAGUAAAGGUCACGAUGCCCCGUGGCAUGGGAGGUUUCUGCUAGUCACGAGGAGCAGUCAUCACCAUGAAGGAUUUUAGUGCUUCUCUAGAUGUGAGGAGAUACAAGAAUUGGGCUCAUAAAAUCAGAUCCCGAAAACAUCUAAAUCUCUGAAGACCUGUCCUGCCAGCGUUCCCAGAGCACAGAGAGCCUCGUUUCUGCUUUCCACCCUGAACUCUUCUUAGGGGAGGUUGAAGGUCAGCAGCUGCAGCCGCACCCGAUUUGGUCCUCGCAGAGGGAGAUGGCAAGUGCCAGCUUGCAGUGGCAUUACCCAGGCUAUGAGGCCCCUGUGUUAGUCCAGCACUUCUGUGAAGGUGACGACACAGCGGGGAAGGAGAGACAGGACAACCGCAGACCCUUUUCUUUUUGUCCUUGCUUACUCCGCAGUAAGGCCCAGGACAGAGUGUGGGCAGAAUGUCAAGGACUGAAACGAAACCGCUUGAGUUUUGUGCAGCGCCCCCACUGUUCUGUUAAGGACUCAGCCACCUAGGCACAGGCAAAGUACAAAAUAACUAAGUGUGCAAUUUCGAUGAUCCCACAUACGCGUUCUUACAUUUGUGUUUAAAACUGGCAUUGCACAGUUUUAUAAUGAUGAAUGGUAAUAUUCAUGUUGGUAAUUUAAAAAUUUUAAUUAUUCUGUACUUAGAACAGCAUUAAAGAGCAAAUAAAAAACAUCAUGACAAGUCGAAAGAGAGAGACACAGAAAUAUAUGUGAGACGUAGGAGGGAAAUUUGUGUUUUAGUAAAUAGAAUGACGUUUUCCCUCUGGUUUUUGAACAAGGAGUCCCACAUUUUUAUUUUGAACAAGGGGCCCCACAAUUAUGAAGACAUCCCUGGGAGAGGAAAAGAGGACUGAGGACAUGGGAGGCCCAGGAGGAUCCCAGAGUGGUUCGAGGCUGAGCCAGGAGUAGAGGCGGGUCUCUGAUGGAGUCCGUACGCCAGAUCUGCAGUGAUGCUGCUGGUGGUGGUGAUGAAGAGGAUGAUGGUGAUAGACUAACAUGGAGCUGAAGAGAAGCUCAUUCAUCUUCAUCGGAAUCCUACCAGCUCUGGCGUCUUGGCAGGCCACACCUGGGAUCAACUCUUGCCUUGUGGAGGCCAAAGGUGCCUCUUUCCCAGGACCCCAUGUCUGUGGCCUGGGCUCCGUGCAGGAGGUGGGCUGGUCCCAUUGUUCACAAGGGUGCACAUGGCUGUCUGGUUGGGAUUCUCCAACGCGAGGAGGGAGCCCCGGCAGCAGCUCUUGGAGGGGGCACGGGAUGUUGCCCUCCCUGUGAAGACCCUCUGGUGGCAAGAGGUUGCCCACAGCUCUCUAAGGUGCUCACUGUGUGAGGGCGACUGGGGUCCAAUCCAGGGGGCUGAUGAUUUCCCCAGAGCUCCUCCCAGACAGAGACCCAGGGGCCAAGUCCAGGGCCAAAUGCUGGGAUCUGAACGCAGCUUGUCUGGCUCCCGAAUCUAAGCUCUGGAAAGAUAGGAGACGUUGUGGCAUCUGGGGGAGGAGGGCAUUCAGGGUGACUUUGCCUUCUCAGACUUCUCCCAACAGCCCGGCCUCUGUCGGGCUUUGCCCCACAGCCAGCACCAUCGGGGGCCGGAGCAGUUCUUACUGUGCAUUUGGGACCUGGGACCUGGAGCGUGGGCUACGAGGACUGGAGAGCCCUUCCCACAAGGUGAAAACAGCCUCCACCCUUUUCUAUAACCUCCCAUGAGACCAGCCCCGCCCAGGGCUCCCAGCCAGGGCGGGAGACUUAACGAGUAGCUUAGACUUAAUGGGAUCAUCCACAAGGGGAGUGAGAAAUGACAUAAACCCAGUGAAUUGGCUUCCUUUUCUGGAGAACAUGAGGUGAAGUUACAUCUCUUUAUUUAUUUGGCCUCAACAGGUCUUAGCUGUGGCAUGUGGGAUCUUGAGUUGCAGCGUGCAAACUCAGUUGUGGCAUGCGGGAUCUAGCUCCCCGGCCAGGGAUCGAACCGGAGACCCUGCAUUGGGAGUACAGAGUCUUAGCCACUGGGCCACCAGGGAAGUCCCUACGAGCUGGAAUUGAUGGUCUCCUGACCCUGUGCCUGGAUGACCCUCACAAAGUUGAUUCCCUCAGGCUUGGCCAAGAGGCCAAGUUUCCAGGUUAAUCUAGGUUAGAAGGCAUUCAAUCUCUCCUGCCUGCAGCCAGGGUAGGGCCGUGGGGAUUACCUGCCAGAGGCAGCCCCUGACUCCUCAGGGCACUUGGGUGGGAGGGAGAGGACCCCCAAAUGGGCCUGCUGGGAGGGCCCCGGGGUGUCACCUCUCUUGGCCGAGCGGCCUUUGCUGGCAGCACGGGGGUGGGGUUGGGGGGUUCACCUCCCCAGUCACAACUUUCUGCAGCACCGAUUUACCAGGUACAUGAAUCUACAAGGUGGUAACGAAUUUCAAACCCCAUUCGAUUAAAACAAACUAAAAUAUUAUGAAUUAAACAUAGAGUCUGCAUGAACUCUGAAGAUCAAACAGGAGAUACUGCAGACAUUUCACAGUUUUGGAGAGCCUCUCUGAGUUACUGCUCCCAGGAGCCCAAAUUCAAGUUUAUCGUCCUCAGCUGGGCCUCCCCCAGGGCCAGCGGGAAGGUUGGUAAUGAUUGCUAGCUCCUGCCGGCACUCUCGAGUUUGCACGGGCUUGU
Bubalus bubalis (water buffalo) is the source of this 3072-nucleotide long non-coding RNA. RefSeq lists it as uncharacterized. NCBI's taxonomy places the organism in Eukaryota, Metazoa, Chordata, Mammalia, Artiodactyla, Bovidae. The record is from RefSeq and is a predicted model, not a curated record. The transcript has 3 exons.